ACGUGAUCUGAGUUCAGACCGGAGCAAUCCAGGUCGGUUUCUAUCUAUAACAGAGCUUAUUCUAGUACGAAAGGACCGAAAAAGCGUGGCCUAUGCUUAAAGCAAGCCACCGCUAGUAACUCCUGCCAUCAACUUAAUUGGCCACUAGCCUUCAACCUCCCUCAAGACAAGAGA
RNAcentral lists this ribosomal RNA (174 nucleotides) under Scinax sp. KAV23. RNAcentral's name for it is "partial 16S large subunit ribosomal RNA". The record is from RNAcentral. Lineage: Eukaryota; Metazoa; Chordata; Amphibia; Anura; Hylidae.